GCCGUGACCAUAUAGCGGUUAGUACGUAGCGUUGUGGCCGCAAUAACCCGGGUUCGAAUCCCAGUCACGGCA
Molecule: non-coding RNA, 72 nt
Organism: Stegodyphus mimosarum
Lineage: Eukaryota; Metazoa; Arthropoda; Arachnida; Araneae; Eresidae
Source: Rfam